GGUAGUUCUCGGGUGAUGCCCCCUGAAAUCAGGGUCCCUCCUCUCUGGUUCAGGGUGCGUCACCCGAGAAUUGCA
Myotis davidii is the source of this 75-nucleotide non-coding RNA. NCBI's taxonomy places the organism in Eukaryota, Metazoa, Chordata, Mammalia, Chiroptera, Vespertilionidae. The record is from Rfam.